Long non-coding RNA from Eurytemora carolleeae, 173 nucleotides. RefSeq lists it as uncharacterized. The record is from RefSeq and is a predicted model, not a curated record. Lineage: Eukaryota; Metazoa; Arthropoda; Copepoda; Calanoida; Temoridae. The transcript is spliced from 2 exons.
AAAACCAUUAAGUCAGAGUAAUCAUCUAGACCUUAAAAGACCAAAGUUGAGAAUAAACCUGAUGGAAGUUGGGACUCAAAAAGGACAGAUGUAUGACGGGAUGGGAGGAAAUACGAAACCUGACGUUUUCCCGGAACCGCUUCCAAGACAUAUUAAGAAAUCUGUUAAGAAAA